UGCAGUCGAACGAGACCUUCGGGUCUAGUGGCGCACGGGUGAGUAACGCGUGGAAACCUACCAUUCUGUACGGAAUAACGAUUGGAAACGAUCGCUAAUACCGUAUACGCCCUGUGGGGGAAAGGUCCGCCGCAGAAUGAGGGGUCCGCGUCCGAUUAGCUUGUUGGUGGGGUAAAAGCCUACCAAGGCGAUGAUCGGUAGCUGGUCUGAGAGGAUGAUCAGCCACACUGGGACUGAGACACGGCCCAGACUCCUACGGGAGGCAGCAGUGGGGAUAUUGGACAAUGGGGGCAACCCUGAUCCAGCAAUGCCGCGUGUGUGAAGAAGGCCUUAAGGUUGUAAAAGCACUUUUCAGUGGUAAAGAUGAAUGACGGUAGCCCGUAAAAAGAAGCCCCGGGCUUAACUUCCGUGCCAAGCAGCCCGGCGGGUAAAUAACAAGGGGGGCGAGCGUGUGUUCGGAAUAUAACUGGGCGUAAAGGGCGGCGCAGGGCGGCCAAUCUCAGUCAGGUUGGAAAGCCCCGGGCUUAACCUGGGAACUGCACUUGAUACUGAUUGGCUAGAAAACGGAAGAGGGCAGUGGAAUUCCCCGUGUAGAGGUGAAAUUCGUAGAUAUUGGGAAGAAAAACCAGUGGCGAAAGCGGCUGCGUGGUCCGAUUUUUGACGCUGAGGCGCGAAAGCGUGGGUAGC
RNAcentral lists this ribosomal RNA (687 nucleotides) under uncultured bacterium. RNAcentral describes it as "bacterial SSU rRNA". It matches the Rfam family "Bacterial small subunit ribosomal RNA", at positions 56 to 769 of the family's 1533-position model. The record is from RNAcentral.